AGAGUUUGAUCCUGGCUCAGGACGAACGCUGGCGGCGUGCUUAACACAUGCAAGUCGAGUGCGCGGUUGUAGCAAUACAACUGGCGCACGGCGCACGGGUGCGUAACACGUGGGUAACCUGCCCUUUGGUGGGGAAUAACUCCGCGAAAGCGGAGCUAUUUCCGCAUAAGAUCCGCAAGGAUGAAAGCCGCAAGGCGCCGAAGGAGGGGCCCGCGCCCGAUUAGCUAGUUGGUGAGGUAAUGGCUCACCAAGGCUUUGAUCGGUAGCUGGUCUGAGAGGAUGAUCAGCCACACUGGAACUGAGACACGGUCCAGACUCCUACGGGAGGCAGCAGUGGGGAAUCUUGCACAAUGGGCGAAAGCCUGAUGCAGCGACGCCGCGUGGGGGAUGAAGCAUUUCGGUGUGUAAACCCCUUUCGAUCCGGACGAAACCCCGCAAGGGAUGACGGUACGAUUUAGAGCCCCGUG
This 467-nucleotide ribosomal RNA is filed under the name uncultured soil bacterium. Its description in RNAcentral is "bacterial SSU rRNA". It matches the Rfam family "Bacterial small subunit ribosomal RNA", at positions 8 to 496 of the family's 1533-position model. The record is from RNAcentral.